AUGCAAGCAUUCUCGAUCGCAACAUGGAGUGGGAGUAAAUCCUGAAUGACGGCAUCGCCGACUGUGCGAACAUUGGCUGAAGCACCAUGGCGGAAGAGCAACUUGAUCAUGUUAACAGAGAACCGUUCAGGAGCUCCAUGGAUUGGAAAGUAUCCGUGCGGGUUCAUGCAGUUGGGAUUGGCAUGGAGACCAUGGAGCCGAGAUGCCUUGCCCUGCAACACAACCUUUGCGCAUCGCAGGGCAUUAUGGCUGACCAUGCAGGUCAAGGUAUCAGAGGUCAUGCUCAAAUUCCAUGCCAUGGCAUUGGGAGAUUUCGCGAACAAGCGGAGGAAGCACCGGACACUAUCCUUUUCCAGUGCAAGCUCCAAACCGUCAAGUAUAUUAUAG
This 387-nucleotide ribosomal RNA is filed under the name Triticum aestivum (bread wheat). RNAcentral's name for it is "partial small subunit ribosomal RNA". The record is from RNAcentral. Lineage: Eukaryota; Viridiplantae; Streptophyta; Magnoliopsida; Poales; Poaceae.